GCUGAGGGCGCUGGGGUGCGCGCCUGUAGUCCCAGCUACUCGGGAGGCUGAGGCAGGAGGAUCGCUUGAGCUCAGGAGUUCUGGGCUGUAGUGCGCUAUGCCGAUCGGGUGUCCGCACUAAGUUCGGCAUCAAUAUGGUGACCUCCCGGGAGCCGGGGACCACCAGGUUGCCUAAGGAGGGGUGAACUGGCCCAGGUCGGAAACGGAGCAGGUCAAAAAUGCUUUGCUGAAACCCGUCAGGGAGUUCAGGUGUUUCAAGUACCAGCAGCCCUGGACUCCUUGCUUGGUGGCCUGCAGU
This 298-nucleotide signal recognition particle RNA is filed under the name Physeter macrocephalus (sperm whale). RNAcentral's name for it is "Physeter catodon (sperm whale) Metazoan signal recognition particle RNA (ENSPCTG00005001352.1)". It matches the Rfam family "Metazoan signal recognition particle RNA". Rfam says of the family: The signal recognition particle (SRP) is a universally conserved ribonucleoprotein. It is involved in the co-translational targeting of proteins to membranes. The record is from Rfam by way of RNAcentral. Lineage: Eukaryota; Metazoa; Chordata; Mammalia; Artiodactyla; Physeteridae.